RNAcentral lists this long non-coding RNA (7212 nucleotides) under Arabidopsis lyrata. Its description in RNAcentral is "long non-coding RNA (ALYR_LNC003001)". Lineage: Eukaryota; Viridiplantae; Streptophyta; Magnoliopsida; Brassicales; Brassicaceae. The record is from RNAcentral.
UUUAGACACGCAUCAAUCAAGAUAAGCAUCUAUCAAGAUCCUCAUUGCUUGCUGUAUUUCCUUAAUCUGUGUAAUUAUAAACAUAUCAGUUAGUAUAUGAAUCACUAACGAUAAUAUUGGACAGAUUUUCUAAAUAUUAUCAUUGAAACAUCUAACUUGAUCUCAAUGCCUAGAAUAUAGUAACUGUCUAUAUUUUAUCAACAGAUCAAUAUUACUUGAUCAAUGGCGUAUCUGCCAUUUAAUUUUUAAAAGGCUAUUUCAGUAUGAAGUUCAUUGUUUAUCAGAAGAACCAUUUUGCUUAAACUCGCUGUUUUUCUUUUGUUUGCAAAUAUGAAAAAAAAACCAGACUACCCUCUUUUAGACUUGAACUCUUCACCUACACCAGCUAAAAGAUCCCGUGUUACUCAAACUCCAACAUCGCAGAGCCAAAUUACUCAAACUACUAGCUCUAAGCCUAACUACCCUCUUAUAGAUUUGAAUUUCUCACCUAAAACAGCUAAAACAGUCCAGUUUGGUCAAACUCCAACAUCGCAGAACCAAAUUACUCAAGCUACUGGCUCUAAACAAUUCUAUCCUCUUAUAGACUUGAACUCUUCUCCUAAACCAGCUAAAAGAUCACGUGUUAUUCAGACUCCAACACCGCAGAGCCAAAUUACUCAAGCUACUGUCUUUAACACAAAUGGUGUUGUCCCUCUAAAAUCAGCCUUUAGCAGAGUGUUUAGAGAUAUUACCAAUCUUCCUUGCAGAAAUGCUGAAACAAGUAAGACCCCAAGGAGUCCGCAGCAAUCAUUAUCUUCAAAACAUACACGACAACCACUUGGUCCUGCUCUUCCUACCUCAUGCUUACGCAAACUGUCAGACUGUACUCCUGUUCCACAAGAAAAUAACUGCCAUAUCAGAAAUUUACAAGACGCCUUUGCUAAUGCAUCAUUUUCUCCUUCAGACAAAGGUAGCAUACAUUUCUUAAGUUACUGUCUUAGUUUUCAGAGUUUUACCAAUCUACUAUCUAAAUACAUUACUUAAUUAUAUAUGUUUUUGUACUAUCUAGGCAAAGGAAAAGAACCAGUACUGCCAACCUUAACAGAUUGUAGCACUGAUGAUGAAAGUAUGGAGCAUAUUAAUUAUAUUGGAAUGAAUGACAGUGAAUCUGAUGGAACACAAGACUACUCUGUUAGCAGCACAGAAGAUGAAGUUGAAGAAGGUUACUCGGCUCCUGUUCAGGAACCUUCUACUGAACAUAUAUUUAAUUCUCCACAACAAGUUAUUGACUUGAGUAGUUCAGCGGAUGAAUCAAGAGAAGAAUUAACUACUCCUACUGUAAGUGUUACUAGGAAAAGUGUAGAAAGGAAAGCAGUGACUCAAAAUAAAAAUCUACCUAAGAAAAUAGGUAGGCCAAGAUUGGCUUUCCCCUCGAAAAGGGCAGCAGCAAAAGCAAAAAAAACAGGUUAGAACUUAAGAAUAUAAUACAUAAUAGACAUUUAUUUGCAAACCUCAACAUAUAGCAUCCUUUGUUGCGUACAUAUUACUAACACUCUAUUUUUCCUUUAGGAUAUCUUGAUCAUGGUGAUCCUACAUACACGUGUAAGUAUUGUGGUGCUUUGAUGUGGUUUGAUGAGCGCAUAAACAAAAGAAACAGUAGUAAGGAUCCAACAUUUACUCUAUGUUGUGGGCAAGGCAGUGUGAAAUUGCCAUUUCUCAAGGAAUCACCAGAGCUUAUUAAAAAGCUUCUUAAAGGAACAGAUGCAAUUAGUAGAAAUUUCAGAGAGAAUUUAAGGACUUAUAAUAUGCUCUUCGCAAUGACCUCCCUUGGUGGGAAGGUAGAUAAAUCUAUGCCUAAAGGUAAAGGACCUGCAAUGUUUCGAUUGCAAGGAGGAAACUAUCAUCAAAUUGGGGGAUUAAAACCUGCUGCUGGUGAUUAUGCUAAGUAUUCACAACUUUAUAUAGUUGAUACUGAAUCUGAAGUUGAUCAGAGAGCUACUGUCAUCGGGUAAGAGUUAUAAUAGUAUUCAAAAACAUUGCAGAUUUACUGUUAUAUUAACUUCGAUACUAUAUUCAGCUGUAGUUAUCUAACUCUGUGUCUUCUUAUGGUCAUUACAGGAAGGGUAAAAAUCUAAAGUCUACCUCUUGGAAAAAAAAACUGAACAAGGAACUGAUUGAAGCAAUAAUAAAAAUGCUGAAUGAAUCAAACCCUUAUGUCAAGAAAUUCAGGUCUGCAAGAGAGAGGUUUCAAUCUAAUGAUGAUGAACCAUUUCAUAUGCGGAUUGUUGCUGAUCGUCAAGGUGUUGAUGGGAGGCAAUACAGUAUGCCUACAGCUGGAGAGGUUGCAGCUUUGAUCCCUGGUGAUUUCAUUCCUGACAUGCCAGUUCGUGAUAUAAUUCUAGAAAAAUCCUCAAAUGGACGCCUAAAGAGGAUAAGCCAGAUUCAUAUUUCCUAUUUGGCUCUACAAUACCCUCUAAUAUUUUGCUAUGGUGAAGAUGGUUACAGGCCUGGUAUUGAGAAGUGUUACAAAUCAAGCAACAACAAGAAGAAAAAGUGUAUAAGUAUGAGACAGUGGUUUGCUUUCCGCAUUCAAGAGAGGGAAAAUGAGUGUCAUACUCUGCUUGAAUCAAAGAGGUUGUUCCAACAGUUUCUGUGUGAUGCAUAUACAACUAUUGAAUCAAACCGCCUCUCUUAUAUCAAGUUUAAUCAGUCUAAGCUACGAUGUGAGAAUUUUAACUCCAUUAAAGCAGCUGCUAACUCUGGAACCAAAGAUAUGGCUGAAGAAGGAAAUCAGAUUCUUAUUCCAGCAUCUUUCACUGGUGGACCUAGAUAUAUGAUCCAAAGCUAUUACGAUGCUAUGGCUAUCUGUAAGCGUUAUGGUUUCCCAGAUCUUUUCAUCACCUUUACAUGUAAUCCUAAGUGGCCUGAGAUUACAAGAUAUUGUGAAGCAAGAGGGUUAACUGCUGAUGAUAGACCGGACAUCGUGGCGAGGAUAUUCAAAAUGAAAUUGGAUUCUCUGAUGAAAGACUUAACAGAAAGAAAAAUGCUUGGAAAGACAGCUGCAUGUAAGUUUUUCAUUUUACUCUGUCGGUUUUAUAGUUUAAGAAUACAGAAAAUGCUAUUUGUUUUUCCUAACUAUUGCUUUUUUUCCUCUUCCAGCUAUGUAUACUGUUGAAUUCCAGAAAAGAGGAUUGCCUCAUGCUCACAUCCUCUUAUUUAUGGAUGUUAAUAGUAAACUGCCAACAGCUGACGACAUUGACAAGAUCAUAUCUGCAGAAAUUCCAGACAAAGAAAAAGAACCGGAGCUAUAUGAAGUUAUCAAAAACUCUAUGAUUCAUGGACCAUGUGGCUCAGCGAAUCCAAAUUCUCCGUGUAUGGUUGAUGGCCAGUGUUCUAAGCUAUACCCAAAAAAACAUCAAGAGAUCACUAAGGUUGGUAGUGAUGGUUAUCCUGUCUAUAGGAGGAGGCUCACAGAAGCUUAUAUUGAGAAAGGUGAUGUUAAAUGUGACAAUAGGUACGUUGUCCCUUAUAAUAAGAAGCUCUCUCUUCGAUAUAAUGCUCAUAUCAACGUGGAAUGGUGCAAUCAAAAUGGUUCUAUCAAAUACUUAUUUAAGUAUAUAAACAAAGGACCAGAUAUGGUUACAGUGAUCGUUGAGCCUAUAAAUCAGCCAACAACAGGUGAAACAGCAAGUGGUUCUACAGCAACUGGUUCUACAGCAACUGGUGAUACAACAACUACAGCUCAAGAACCAGAUUCAAAUGAGAAAAAGAAGGAUGAAAUAAAAGAUUGGUUUGACUGCAGGUAUGUUAUUAACUUAGUAUUAUGUAAAUUAGAAAGUUUUUAUCCUGUUACAAUUUUCUGGAAUUCAGUUUUUGUAUGUCUAUAGAUAUGUAUCAGCUUCAGAGGCGGUUUGGAGAAUUUUCAAAUUUCCUAUUCAACACAGAUCAACCCCAGUCUUGAAAUUAUCUUUUCAUGUGGAAGGAAAGCAACCAAUAUAUUUCGAUCCAAAGUCACAAAUAGCAGAUGUUCUAGAUCGUGUAUCCAAUGAAGAUUCUCAGUUUAUGGCUUGGUUGACAUUGAAUAGAAAAAAUGCAGUCGGAAAGAAUGGAAAGCGUGCAAGAGAGUGUCUAUAUGCGGAAAUACCAGCCUAUUUUACUUGGGAUGGAAAGAAUAAGCAGUUUAAGAAGAGAUCUAGAGGCUGGGCUUUGGGUCGUAUUAAUUAUGUCCCAAGGAAAAUGGAAGAUGAAUACUAUCUUCGAGUACUGCUCAACAUAGUUAGAGGUCCACAGACUUAUGAUGACAUAAAAACAUAUCAAGGUGUGGUUUAUCCAACUUACAAGGAAGCAUGUUUCGCACGUGGCAUAUUAGAUGAUGAUCAAGUCUACAUUGAUGGUCUGAUUGAAUUAGGUCAGCAUAGUUUUGCUCCUGUUUUGAGGAAUUUUUUUUCAAUGCUGCUUCUAUCUAUGUCUCUAGCAAGACCAGAACAUGUUUGGUCAGAAACAUGGCAUCUAUUAGCUGAAGAUAUCCUGGCUAAGAAGAAAUUAGAGUACAAGAAUCCAGGUUUUAGAAUACGCUUCUCUAAUUUUUAAAUGUUGUUUUCAGUACAAUUUUUAAAUCGCCUGUUUUACCUUCCACACUACUAUUUGCAGAACUUACACUCACAGAAGCUCAAAUAAAGAACUACACGCUUCAGGAGAUAGAGAAAAUUAUGUUGUUCAAUGGAGGAACUCUAGAAGAUUUUGAACAUUUCCCUAAGCCUACAAGAGAGGGAAUUGAUAAUUCAAACCGUCUUAUUGUUGAUGAGUUGAGAUAUAACAUUGAAUCCAACUUGGAAGAACAGCAUGCAGAGUGGAGAGAUAAGCUAACUCCUGAACAGAGAGGUGUAUACAAUGAGAUAACCGGGGCAGUUUUCAAUGGUUUAGGUGGAGUUUUCUUUGUUUACGGCUCUGGAGGAACAGGGAAAACAUUUAUUUGGAAGACACUAGCUGCGGCUAUUAGGUCUAAAGGUCUAAUAUGUCUUAAUGUCGCCUCAAGUGGCAUUGCUUCUUUGUUGUUGGAAGGAGGAAGAACAGCACAUUCAAGGUUUUCUAUUCCAUUGAAUCCUGAUGAGUUUUCUGUUUGCAAGAUCAAAGCUAAAUCAGAUUUAGCAGAUUUGAUUAAAGAAACAUCUCUCAUAAUCUGGGAUGAAGCGCCAAUGAUGAGCAAGUUUUGUUUCGAAGCUUUAGAUAAAAGCUUCUGUGAUAUUAUCAAACACGCAGAGAACAAGGUAUUUGGUGGAAAGGUUGUUGUAUUUGGAGGUGAUUUUAGACAAGUACUUCCAGUUAUUACUAAUGCUGGUAGAGCAGAAAUUGUUAUGUCAUCUCUAAAUUCUUCAUACCUUUGGGAUCACUGCAAAGUUUUAAAGUUGACCAAGAACAUGCGACUUCUAAACAACAGUUUAAGUGCUCAGGAAGCUAAAGAAAUACAAGAAUUCUCAGAUUGGUUGUUGGCUGUUGGUGAUGGUAGGAUCAAUGAGCCUAAUGAUGGUGAGGUUGUGAUAGAUAUUCCUGAAGAUUUGCUGAUUACAGAAGCAGACAAUCCAAUAGAAGCAAUUACUAGGGAAAUUUAUGGAGAUCCAACUAAACUUCAUGAAAUCCGUGAUCCUAAAUUCUUUCAAAUGAGAGCUAUUUUAGCACCAAAGAAUGAUGAUGUCAACACAAUCAAUCAGUAUAUGCUUGAGCAUUUGGAUAGUGAGUAUACUUUAACUCUUACCUAUUUACUUUCUUAUUAUAUAGCUUUGUUGCUAAGUUGUUACUGUUGUAACUAAUCAUAACCCAUUUAUUCUACAGGUCCAGAAAGAAUUUAUCUAUCUGCUGAUAGUAUAGAUCCUUCAGAUUCUGAUGCUCUUAACAAUCCUGUUAUUACUCCAGAUUUCUUAAACAGUAUCAAGGUUUCAGGUUUGCCUAAUCAUUCUUUGCGUUUAAAGAUUGGUGCUCCUGUUAUGUUGCUUAGGAAUAUAGAUCCUAAAGGAGGCCUUUGCAACGGGACUAGACUUCAGAUUACGCAGCUAUUAAAUCAGAUUGUGGAAGCAAGAGUUAUAACAGGAGACAGGAUUGGUGAUAUCGUUUUUAUUCCUCUCAUAAACAUUACACCUUCAGACACCAAACUGCCAUUCAAGAUGCGUAGAAGACAGUUUCCACUAUCUGUUGCAUUUGCUAUGACUAUCAAUAAGAGUCAGGGGCAAUCUCUUGAACGAGUUGGACUUUACUUGCCUAAACCAGUCUUCUCUCAUGGCCAACUAUAUGUUGCGUUGUCUAGAGUGACUUCUAAAAAAGGUUUGAGAAUACUAAUACUCAACAAAGAAGGGAAGAUUGAGAAGAAAACAACGAAUGUUGUUUUCAAGGAAGUUUUCCAAAACAUUAACUGAACAAUGUUAUCUACAGAGAAAUUCUGCAAUGAGGUCAGUUGAAUUACCUUUUACUUUUUAUGAUUUAAGUUAUGGUCUGAAAAACCCCUACACACAAUCAUAAUGCAACAUAUAUUUCACUUUCUACUGUAGGAACCUCAUAUCUAAUCAACCAGACAGCUUCAACAUCAAAGAUGCAUUCAUAUCGGAAGUAAAAUGUCAAUUUCCUACUGAACUAUUUGUGGAAGUCAUUUGCAUACUCUAAGUUCUGCAUUUUCCUUUUAAAAUAAAACAAAGAAACUCUUACCACCAAAAAAUUGGUUGUGCUGGGACUAACCUUGCUUUCUGAGGUAGUUGUUGAAUUCUCCUCUUUAUAUUUUUGGCUUCUGUGGACAUCAUCGUCAGAGAUUGUGCUGGAUUUUGGCUCAGUAACCUAGCAUAUUUCAAAAAUAACUUAAAAUUAAUAGUUGCGAUCACUUUUUUAGCUUAUAUCAGAUUUUCAGAAACACAUUAUAUUCUGCGUUUGUCACAACACAGUUGAUUCAUGCCUUUGUAUAAACUACACGCAAUUCUACCAAUUAUUCACCAUCACUAAUUACCUUUUAAACAAAUCUUACGGAAAAUGAUGUUGCCUCAAUCAUCAAUUUCAGAUAAGCACAAACCUUUAGAUUGCUCCGAUUAUGAAUUGAACAAUCGAUUGAGUUUUCUCCUGUACUCCAUUGCUUGAUUACUCACUCGGAUGAUACCAGUCACUUACAUGCAACCACUGAAUUAUACAGAUUCUUCUCGCCGGAGACUUUUAACUUCUACAAUCCAAUCGGAAUUUGAGAGACCUUAUUUGCAAUCC